RNAcentral lists this long non-coding RNA (334 nucleotides) under Spirodela polyrhiza (greater duckweed). Its description in RNAcentral is "long non-coding RNA (SPOL_LNC002681)". The record is from RNAcentral. Lineage: Eukaryota; Viridiplantae; Streptophyta; Magnoliopsida; Alismatales; Araceae.
ACAAAAAUGACAUUGGGUAGAUGCUUGGUGGAGGCCGAAGACUACACUAGUAAGAUACUUGGCAGAGGUGAAGACCUCGUUAGAAAGAUACUCAAUAGAGGUCAAAAACCUCGUUGGAAAGAUAUUCGGUGAAUGUGAAAAACCUCAUUAGAAAAAUACUUGACAAUGCAUAAAAGUUGCUAGAAAGAUACUUGUAGAGUUGGAAAACUUCAUCGAAAAGAUACUCAAUGAAUGUAAAAAACCUCACUGAAAAUAUAUUAGUAGAAGUGAAAUACAUCAUUAGAAAGAUGCUUAAUAGAGGUAGAAAACCUCACCAAAAGGAUACUUGGCAAAG